GAUGAAGAACGUAGCGAAAUGCGAUAAGUAAUGUGAAUUGCAGAAUUCAGUGAAUCAUCGAAUCUUUGAACGCACAUUGCGCCCGCCAGCACUCUGGCGGGCAUGCCUGUUCGAGCGUCAUUUCAACCAUCAAGCCCCAGCGCUUGUGUUGGGGGCCUGCGGCUGCCGCAGCCCCCUAAAAGCAGUGGCGGGCUCGCUAUCACACCGAGUGCAGUAGUUCAUCUUCUCUCCGGUCUUGUGAGGCGGGUUCCGGCCGUGAAACACCCCACUACAUUCAAGGUUGACCUCGGAUCAGGUAGGAAUACCCGCUGAACUUAAGCAUAUCAAUAAGCGGAGGA
RNAcentral lists this unclassified non-coding RNA (338 nucleotides) under soil metagenome. RNAcentral describes it as "partial contains 5.8S ribosomal RNA, internal transcribed spacer 2, and large subunit ribosomal RNA". The stretch from base 1 to 120 matches the Rfam family "5.8S ribosomal RNA", at positions 35 to 154 of the family's 154-position model. The record is from RNAcentral.